Molecule: ribosomal RNA, 2985 nt
Filed under: Salmonella sp. 2018103
Lineage: Bacteria; Pseudomonadati; Pseudomonadota; Gammaproteobacteria; Enterobacterales; Enterobacteriaceae
Description: 23S ribosomal RNA
Rfam family: Bacterial large subunit ribosomal RNA
Source: RNAcentral
GGUUAAGCGACUAAGCGUACACGGUGGAUGCCCUGGCAGUCAGAGGCGAUGAAGGGCGUGCUAAUCUGCGAUAAGCGCCGGUAAGGUGAUAUGAACCGUUAUAACCGGCGAUACCCGAAUGGGGAAACCCAGUGUGAUUCGUCACACUAUCAUUAACUGAAUCCAUAGGUUAAUGAGGCGAACCGGGGGAACUGAAACAUCUAAGUACCCCGAGGAAAAGAAAUCAACCGAGAUUCCCCCAGUAGCGGCGAGCGAACGGGGAGGAGCCCAGAGCCUGAAUCAGCAUGUGUGUUAGUGGAAGCGUCUGGAAAGGCGCGCGAUACAGGGUGACAGCCCCGUACACAAAAGCGCAUAUGCUGUGAGCUCGAUGAGUAGGGCGGGACACGUGGUAUCCUGUCUGAAUAUGGGGGGACCAUCCUCCAAGGCUAAAUACUCCUGACUGACCGAUAGUGAACCAGUACCGUGAGGGAAAGGCGAAAAGAACCCCGGCGAGGGGAGUGAAAAAGAACCUGAAACCGUGUACGUACAAGCAGUGGGAGCACCCUUUGGGGUGUGACUGCGUACCUUUUGUAUAAUGGGUCAGCGACUUAUAUUCUGUAGCAAGGUUAACCGAAUAGGGGAGCCGGAGGGAAACCGAGUCUUAAUUGGGCGUUAAGUUGCAGGGUAUAGACCCGAAACCCGGUGAUCUAGCCAUGGGCAGGUUGAAGGUUGGGUAACACUAACUGGAGGACCGAACCGACUAAUGUUGAAAAAUUAGCGGAUGACCUGUGGCUGGGGGUGAAAGGCCAAUCAAACCGGGAGAUAGCUGGUUCUCCCCGAAAGCUAUUUAGGUAGCGCCUCGUGAAUUCAUCUCCGGGGGUAGAGCACUGUUUCGGCUAGGGGGCCAUCCCGGCUUACCAACCCGAUGCAAACUGCGAAUACCGGAGAAUGUUAUCACGGGAGACACACGGCGGGUGCUAACGUCCGUCGUGAAGAGGGAAACAACCCAGACCGCCAGCUAAGGUCCCAAAGUCAUGGUUAAGUGGGAAACGAUGUGGGAAGGCCCAGACAGCCAGGAUGUUGGCUUAGAAGCAGCCAUCAUUUAAAGAAAGCGUAAUAGCUCACUGGUCGAGUCGGCCUGCGCGGAAGAUGUAACGGGGCUAAACCAUGCACCGAAGCUGCGGCAGCGAACGUAUCACUUAAAGCGAUUCAGCGGAUGACGAUUGACGGAGCGAAGCGACGUCAAAGCGUAUACAAAGUCGAGUCGGUUUAAGGAUACGUUCGUUGGGUAGGGGAGCGUUCUGUAAGCCUGCGAAGGUGGCCUGUGAGGGUUGCUGGAGGUAUCAGAAGUGCGAAUGCUGACAUAAGUAACGAUAAAGCGGGUGAAAAGCCCGCUCGCCGGAAGACCAAGGGUUCCUGUCCAACGUUAAUCGGGGCAGGGUGAGUCGACCCCUAAGGCGAGGCCGAAAGGCGUAGUCGAUGGGAAACGGGUUAAUAUUCCCGUACUUGGUGUUACUGCGAAGGGGGGACGGAGAAGGCUAUGUUGGCCGGGCGACGGUUGUCCCGGUUUAAGCGUGUAGGCUGGUUUUCCAGGCAAAUCCGGAAAAUCAAGGCUGAGGCGUGAUGACGAGGCACUACGGUGCUGAAGCAACAAAUGCCCUGCUUCCAGGAAAAGCCUCUAAGCAUCAGGUAACAUCAAAUCGUACCCCAAACCGACACAGGUGGUCAGGUAGAGAAUACCAAGGCGCUUGAGAGAACUCGGGUGAAGGAACUAGGCAAAAUGGUGCCGUAACUUCGGGAGAAGGCACGCUGACAUGUAGGUGAAGUGAUUUACUCAUGGAGCUGAAGUCAGUCGAAGAUACCAGCUGGCUGCAACUGUUUAUUAAAAACACAGCACUGUGCAAACACGAAAGUGGACGUAUACGGUGUGACGCCUGCCCGGUGCCGGAAGGUUAAUUGAUGGGGUCAGCGCAAGCGAAGCUCCUGAUCGAAGCCCCGGUAAACGGCGGCCGUAACUAUAACGGUCCUAAGGUAGCGAAAUUCCUUGUCGGGUAAGUUCCGACCUGCACGAAUGGCGUAAUGAUGGCCAGGCUGUCUCCACCCGAGACUCAGUGAAAUUGAACUCGCUGUGAAGAUGCAGUGUACCCGCGGCAAGACGGAAAGACCCCGUGAACCUUUACUAUAGCUUGACACUGAACAUUGAGCCUUGAUGUGUAGGAUAGGUGGGAGGCUUUGAAGUGUGGACGCCAGUCUGCAUGGAGCCGGCCUUGAAAUACCACCCUUUAAUGUUUGAUGUUCUAACGUGGACCCGUGAUCCGGGUUGCGGACAGUGUCUGGUGGGUAGUUUGACUGGGGCGGUCUCCUCCUAAAGAGUAACGGAGGAGCACGAAGGUUGGCUAAUCCUGGUCGGACAUCAGGAGGUUAGUGCAAUGGCAUAAGCCAGCUUGACUGCGAGCGUGACGGCGCGAGCAGGUGCGAAAGCAGGUCAUAGUGAUCCGGUGGUUCUGAAUGGAAGGGCCAUCGCUCAACGGAUAAAAGGUACUCCGGGGAUAACAGGCUGAUACCGCCCAAGAGUUCAUAUCGACGGCGGUGUUUGGCACCUCGAUGUCGGCUCAUCACAUCCUGGGGCUGAAGUAGGUCCCAAGGGUAUGGCUGUUCGCCAUUUAAAGUGGUACGCGAGCUGGGUUUAGAACGUCGUGAGACAGUUCGGUCCCUAUCUGCCGUGGGCGCUGGAGAACUGAGGGGGGCUGCUCCUAGUACGAGAGGACCGGAGUGGACGCAUCACUGGUGUUCGGGUUGUCAUGCCAAUGGCACUGCCCGGUAGCUAAAUGCGGAAGAGAUAAGUGCUGAAAGCAUCUAAGCACGAAACUUGCCCCGAGAUGAGUUCUCCCUGAGACUUAGAGUCUCCUGAAGGAACGUUGAAGACGACGACGUUGAUAGGCCGGGUGUGUAAGCGCAGCGAUGCGUUGAGCUAACCGGUACUAAUGAACCGUGAGGCUUAACCUU